AGAGUUUGAUCAUGGCUCAGAUUGAACGCUGGCGGCAUGCCUUACACAUGCAAGUCGAACGGCAGCGCGGGGCAACCUGGCGGCGAGUGGCGAACGGGUGAGUAAUAUAUCGGAACGUACCCUGGAGUGGGGGAUAACGUAGCGAAAGUUACGCUAAUACCGCAUACGAUCUAAGGAUGAAAGUGGGGGAUCGCAAGACCUCAUGCUCCUGGAGCGGCCGAUAUCUGAUUAGCUAGUUGGUAGGGUAAAAGCCUACCAAGGCAUCGAUCAGUAGCUGGUCUGAGAGGACGACCAGCCACACUGGAACUGAGACACGGUCCAGACUCCUACGGGAGGCAGCAGUGGGGAAUUUUGGACAAUGGGCGCAAGCCUGAUCCAGCAAUGCCGCGUGAGUGAAGAAGGCCUUCGGGUUGUAAAGCUCUUUUGUCAGGGAAGAAACGGUCUGUUCUAAUACAGCGGACUAAUGACGGUACCUGAAGAAUAAGCACCGGCUAACUACGUGCCAGCAGCCGCGGUAAUACGUAGGGUGCAAGCGUUAAUCGGAAUUACUGGGCGUAAAGCGUGCGCAGGCGGUUUUGUAAGACUGUCGUGAAAUCCCCGGGCUCAACCUGGGAAUGGCGAUGGUGACUGCAAGGCUAGAGUUUGGCAGAGGGGGGUAGAAUUCCACGUAGCAGUGAAAUGCGUAGAUAUGUGGAGGAACACCGAUGGCGAAGGCAGCCCCCUGGGUCAAAACUGACGCUCAUGCACGAAAGCGUGGGGAGCAAACAGGAUUAGAUACCCCAGUAGUCC
RNAcentral lists this ribosomal RNA (789 nucleotides) under uncultured bacterium. RNAcentral describes it as "bacterial SSU rRNA". It matches the Rfam family "Bacterial small subunit ribosomal RNA", at positions 8 to 796 of the family's 1533-position model. The record is from RNAcentral.